GAGUUUGAUCCUGGCUCAGGAUGAACGCUAGCGACAGGCUUAACACAUGCAAGUCGAGGGGCAGCGGGGGAGGAAGCUUGCUUUCUCCUGCCGGCGACCGGCGCACGGGUGAGUAACACGUAUGCAACCUGGCCGUCACAGGUGGAUAACCGGAAGAAAUUCCGACUAAUACAGCAUAACACUCCUGAGGGACAUCCUUCGGGGGUCAAAGGAGGCGACUCCGGUGACGGAUGGGCAUGCGGCGCAUUAGGUAGUUGGUAGGGUAACGGCCUACCAAGCCGACGAUGCGUAGGGGUUCUGAGGGGAAGGUCCCCCACAUUGGAACUGAGACACGGUCCAAACUCCUACGGGAGGCAGCAGUGAGGAAUAUUGGUCAAUGGACGGAAGUCUGAACCGGCCAUGCCGCGUGCAGGAAGACGGCUCUAUGAGUUGUAAACUGCUUUUGUACAAGGGUAAACCUGAAUACGUGUAUUCAGCUGAAAGUACUGUACGGAUAAGGAUCGGCUAACUCCGUGCCAGCAGCCGCGGUAAUACGGAGGAUCCAAGCGUUAUCCGGAUUUAUUGGGUUUAAA
This 572-nucleotide ribosomal RNA is filed under the name uncultured bacterium. RNAcentral's name for it is "bacterial SSU rRNA". It matches the Rfam family "Bacterial small subunit ribosomal RNA", at positions 9 to 564 of the family's 1533-position model. The record is from RNAcentral.